This 73-nucleotide transfer RNA is filed under the name Alosa alosa (allis shad). Its description in RNAcentral is "tRNA-Val". It matches the Rfam family "tRNA". From Rfam's summary of the family: Transfer RNA (tRNA) molecules are approximately 80 nucleotides in length. The record is from RNAcentral. Lineage: Eukaryota; Metazoa; Chordata; Actinopteri; Clupeiformes; Clupeidae.
GUUUCCAUAGUGUAGUGGUCAUCACGUUCGCCUCACACGCAAAAGGUCCCCAGUUCAUAACUGGGUUGAAACA